AGGGAGAUGCAAGAGGGAAGAGAUAUGGGAACAUGUAUAUGUAUAACUGAUUCACUUUGUUAUAAAGCAGAAACUAACACACCAUUGUAAAGCAGUUAUACUCCAAUAAAGAUGUAAAAAAAAAAUAAAUUUUAAAAAAUUAAAAAAAAAAAGAAAGUCCCUGUGGGUGUCCAGGGGUGGAAUUGCUGAGUCAUGUAUUAGAUUAGAUUAAAUUAGAUUAACCUAAUUGGUUAAUUGCUGGACUAGUUCCUGCUCCCACUGCACACUUCGAGGGUCCUCUCCCUGCUUCCUGCCUCUCCCCUCCCUGGCUCUUGGCUCAUUGAGCCCUUUGCUGUGGGAACCCAGCCUUUUGUUAUUCUGGUUUCCUUUUCUGUGGUUAUUGAUGAGUUUAACAGCAUAUGUUUGCUUGCCUUUCAGAUAUCUCUUGUGUAAAAUGUCAGUGGAUCUUUGGGAUAGGUUAUGUUGUGUUAGGUAAGGAACAGUUUUAUUUUUCUCCUUAGAGUGAGCCAGUUUUCCCAAUACCAUUUACCUUUAAAAAAAAAUCUAUCUUUCCCCUAUUGAUUAGUGAUGCCAAGUUAUCUUAUAUUAAAUUUGCAAAUAUGCAUGAGUCUGCCUAAGUGCUCUGCUGUAUUGCAUUGGUCCAUUGGUCUCUUUUAGGGCUAUUUUUAUUACAAUGGCUUUGUAGUAGGUCUUAACUUCUGGUAGGGUAAAUCCUCCCUCUUUGCUUUCCUUUUUAAAAGAUGACUUACCUAGUCAAGGAUCUUUUUUACUUCUAUGUAAAUUUUAGGGUAAAUGUCUAAGCUCCUGUAAAAAAAAAAUCCGAUUCUUUUAACCUGGCAAUUUCUCGGCCUUUCUUUGUCUUUCAUGACUGAUGUAUUUGAAGAAUACAAACCCACUGUUUUGAGAACCUCCCUCAAUUUGCAUUUGUUGGAUUGUUUCCUCAAGAUUUGAUUUGGAUGUCUCAGUUUUGGCGGGACCCGUGCGUAAGUGCCACUGUGUUCUUCUCAGCGGGUUACACCAGGAGGUACCUGAUGUCAGAGUGUGUCAUCACUGUUGAUGUUUACUUAACCACUGGUAAAGGCAGAGGCAGUGCACUCUACCUUCUCCACUGUAUUUCUCUAGCAUAAAGAUAUCCGUCUUUUCUCUUUGUAAUUACUAAAUAAUCUCUGGGGAGCUACUUUGAGACUGUAAAUAUCUGUUUACCCAACGAUCUUUUACUCAAUGGUGUGAAUAUUCUUGUUUGAAUCAGUUACUCAGUGAUGGUUGCAGAAGGUUUGUUUUCUAACUCUCAUCCCUUCCACAUUUGUCAUCUUUCUACUAUAAAGAAGAGCCUUCCCAUCUCCCCCAGUUUAUUUGUAUGUUGGUUUAAUUUUUAGGAUCACUGUGGACUCAUGCAUUCUUUUUGAUUCAAUAUGUUAUAAUUCAUUAUUGUCAUCAUUUUUUUUUUUUUUUUUUUUUUUUUUUUGCGGUAUGCGGGCCUCUCACUGUUGUGCCCUCUCCCGUUAUGGAGCACAGGCUGCGGACAUGCAGGCUCAGCGGCCAUGGCUCACGGGCCCAGCCGCUCCACGGCUUGUGGGAUCUUCCCGGACCGGGGCACGAACCCGUGUCCCCUGCAUCAGCAGGCAGACUCUCAACCACUGUGCCACCAGGGAAGCCCGGAUUCAUCCACUUUUAAAAAGGGGGAACUGAGACACAUACAGGGAGAACAGCACAUGAAGACAAAGACAGAAAUGAGGGCAAUGCUUCUAUAAGCCAAGGAAUGCCAGAGUUGCUAGCAAACCACCAAAAGCUAGGGGAGAAGUCAUCUCCCUCACAGCCUCAGAGGGCACCAACCUUGCUGACACCUUGAUCUGGGACUUCCAGCCUCCAGAACUGGGAAACAAAACAGUUCUGUUGUUUUAAGCCACCCAGUUUGUGGUACUUUUUACAGCAGCCUUAGGAAACUAAUACACUCACCUUUCUCUGUUCCUUACUUAUGCCUCCUUUCUCCCACAAUGAAAACUCUGGCUCCUAACAAUAUCUCAUUUUCUCAGUCUUAUGAUACACAAAAAUUGUCUCAGAAUUGUUACACUCCUAUCUCUACCAACCACAAAAUUAUUAAGUAAAGUUAAAGAUUCUUUGCAGUUCUUUUUGUGUUUAUACGAAGGGUAUAAAGUCAAAGUACUGCAUUCAAAGCUACUUGGAUUAGUUCUUUUUUUCCCUCCUUUUUCUUAUGCGGUUAUCUUAUCGAUUUGAUAUAUAGUUCAGUUUAUUUGUUUUGGUUUUAUUCAGUUUUAGGGGUGGUGAGCUCCCCAUCCAUACUGAUGGAAUUUUAUUUACUCAACAUAUGACACAUUAACAAAGUUCCAAAAGUUUGUCAAAACUAUGCAAAAAAAGUAUAUUCAGAGAAAUAUCAUUCUCUUUCCUUUCCCUUUCACUCCAUUCCUCCCCACCCCUGUGGGUAAUUAAAUGUGGUUUCAUUCGUUUCUAGUUUACCCUUCUUGUGAUUUGGCAAAAAUAAGCAGAUUUGUAUGUAUUUUCUUAUUUCUCUUUUUACACAAAAGAUAACAUACAAUGUAUCACUCUAUUCUUCUACUUAACAGUAUAUUCUGGGAAUCAUGUUCCGUAAGAACUUUGAGAACUCUUUCUCAUUCCUUUUUUACAGCUGCCUAGUGGUGCAUUUUGUGGAUGUGCCACGUUUAAUUCAUGCUCUCUCUGAUUAUGGGUAUCGAGGCAGUUUCCACUAUUUUGCUGUUACAUAUAAUGUUGCAGUGAAUAACCAUACACAUAAGUAUUUUCAUAAAGUUGGAAAUAAAUCUUCAGGAUAAAUUCCUGGAAACGGGGUUGCUGGGGCAAGGGUUAAAUACACGUCUAGUUUCAUUCGGUAUUGUCACAUCAUCCCCAUAGGGCUUUACCCCUCUGAUUUCCACCAGCAAUGCCAGAGAACGCCAAUUUCUCCACAGCCUCUCCAUGUGGUGUGUUGUCAAGCUUUUGAAUUUUUGCCAACCUGAUGGGUGAAAAUGGCAUUUCAGUAUAGUUACAAUUUGUAUUUCUCUUAUUAUGAGUGAAGUUGAACAUUUUUUUACUAUGUUUAAGGGCCAUUUAUUUCAUUUUUAGUGAAUUGUAUGUCCAUGUUUUUUGCCCAGUUUUCUGUUGGAACUUUGGUCUUUUCCCUCACAUUUUAAAGAGUUCUUUAAAUAUUAAUCAUAUUCGUGUUUUAUCUUUGAUAUAUGUCUCACAAGUACUUUCCUUCAGUAUGUCAUUUUGACUUUGCUUAUAGUGCUUUUUGCCAUGUAAAAGUGUCUUUUCUUUCUUUUUUUAAAAAACUUUCCUUGGAUUUAUCCAUUUAUUAAACUUGGAUUUAUCCAUUUUUUAAUUGAAGUAUAGUCGAUUUACAAUGUUGUGUUAGUUUCUGGUGGAUUUAUCCACUUUUAAAACUGCAUCUGGAUCACGUUUGAAAUGUUAAUGGCUAAACAGUAAUAGCAUCCCUGUUGAAUCCUAAGCAAUCAGAACACUUGCUUCUCUAGAUUUUGCCAAAUGCCAAUCAUACUGGGCUGAGCUAAUCUACCCCUCUUUCUGAAACUAUUAUGGCAAAUAAUUAAAAUAAGACUUCCUCUUAUUUUCUUUAACUUAUUUAUUUGGCUGCGCCGGGUCUUAGUUGCGGCACGCAGGGUCUUCGUUGUGGCGUGUGGAAUCCUUUAGUUGCGGCAUGCAUGUGGGACUAGUUCCCUGACCAGGGAUUGAACCCGGGGCCCCCUGCAUUGGGAAGUGGAGUCUUAACCACUGGACCACCAGAGAAGUCCCAGGACUUCCUCUUACUUCAUCUUGCUGGGCCGCAAAUUGUCCCUUGCUCCGAGUUCAAACUGUAACCACCUUCUAGCUACAGUAAGGGGGGCCUGGGGCAGAGCCAGACGCUAACGGUGGACCAGCUGGUCGAUGUAUUGUCACUGUGAAUUAAGCAGGACACGGCCUUGGGAACCAGAGAAGAGUCCUAGGGUCCAAGGGAGCUGAUUUUACUGGUUAUGACGGGGACCUAUUUCUCUCAUAUGAUUUGAGGCACUUCAGAAGGCUCCUACCUUCCAUAUUUGGUCAUCUCCAAAUACGGGCCUGCCAUUCUGCCUGAAAUUUCACUACGGGUCCCCCCUUUGGGCUAAGACAUUGAAACAGAAGGAUUAUGUGCGUAUACAUACCUGCUAGUCCAGAGGCACAGAGUGGUCGUGAGCUUAUCCGCUGCUUCUUAGUAGAGCUUGGAAAGAAUGGGACAUAGGAAGGUCAUGCUUUGAUAGGAAGACUGAGCCUGGGACCAAGGGUGGCAGAGGGCAUUGAGGUGGGAGGACGUGCCCUCGUGUGACCAUGUAGAGAAGGAUGUGGAGCUGAGGGUGCAGACACGGGGCAGAAGUGUCAGGACAAGGGGUACCAUCUCUGGGAAGGGUCCAUCUCUGCUCCACUUCCUUGCCCAGGUCCCCAAUGCAGGAUGUAGCUUAUUCCCUAGUGACCCUGCCUACUCCCCUCACAUGCAGCCAGAGUGGUCUAGAGCCUUCCAGAGGCUCCCUGUCACCUUCUGAGUCCUAAACAAACUCCUUACCCUGGCAUUCAAGGCCCAUCUCUCCAGGUUCCUGUCCCUCCAACUUUGCCCACAGACCCUAUGAGUCUUCUCUGAACAAAAACAUUGGAAUGUGCAAGGUGACAAGGACAGAGUAUUCAUGACAACUGGGGAACUGUGAUGUAAAACUAGUACGUUGCUCGUAAAUCUGGGUUCAGGUGCAGCCACGGUGGGAACUGUCUCAAACACACUUUCAGACCUCCAGGUCCUCCCUCCGUCUUGGGGGUCCUUUCCCCAUCCCUGGCAUCACCGAGGCCCCGCAUUCUGAAAGGCUCCAGGAUGCCCCUCUGGCAGAAGCUGUCUCUGGUCCCCCGCAGCAAGUGCCCCAGCUGCCUUGCUGAGUUCAAGCUGUCUGAGCUCUUGGCCCCGAGGGAGGGGUGCAGGCGCCACCUUGUGGCCCCAAGCGUUUAUGGCACUGAAAGCUGCCCCUGGACGGGAGAAUUGCUGUGGAUCCGAAAGCUUGAGGGCCCAGGACCGUGGGUGGGAAGACCGCAUGCUCCCAGCCUGCCUGUCCUGACACCCCAACCCCGCUAAGACGGGUCACCGGGGUGCCCCGGGCCUCCUGACAGGGAAGUUGCUUUUAGCGCUUGGAAGGGGAAGCGCUGGUCUCAUUCCUACAGGUCCUUACGUUUCUCCAUCCCCGCCCCCCAGGUCUCACCAGCUCUGAGGCUGCCAAGUGGGGCUGCAGCAGGACGCUGCCUUGUUGGGGUGCCGUGCGGCGUAGGAGCUGAGGAUGAGCUUGGCGUGCAGAGAGGCCCGGGCUGAACAGCCCGCCGUCACAGGCACACCACUUGAUCUCUCGGGGCCUCCAAUUUCCUCUUCGUAAAGAGGGUAAUGAUUUACAGCACGGACGUUCCUGAGCGUUGGUGAUAUGGACGUAGACUCUGGGCACUUAAUAGGUGCUAAAAAUGGCAGCUUGUGAACUUGAGUGGCGGCCGGCACCUUCUCCAGGAACGCACUCCCUGCCCUGUCUGGGGGACGUCUCCCCUCAGUGGCCCCUGGGUGCCCUCAUCGCUACCCUCAAGCCCCUGUUGGGCAUCACUUACUUGCUGGCAUGCCCACCAGCUGGGAGAUGGUGCAUGGCAGGCAGGUGCAAGAUCGUCUGCCACAGUGCCAGACACCUGGUACGUGCUCAGAUGGACACGUGGGUCAGAUGUGACUCCUGAUGUGGGGGCGGUGAGACCAGCGUAAAAUGGACGAGAAGGUCGCCCUCAGGUCUUCUAAGAGAUGGUCAGUGAAUGAAGAAGUUGGGGGGAAAGCACUCCCUGAGUUUCUCUCAGGAGGACUUGAGUGCCAAGAUGCCAACCAGAGCUCUGCCCCACCCAGUCAGAGCAGCGGGGUGCCCACUCCAUCGCGGGAAGGGAGCUAGAGAAGACGGAGCUGCCCCCACGGCGCCCACGGGCUGCGUGAGGUGAGGCCUGGCGGGACGAGCGCGUGGGUCUGCGCUGGCUCCAGGAGAGAGGAGCCUCGAGCUGGGGCUCUUUUCCAGAGCUUUCUGGAAAAGGGGACUGCACUCCCGUCCUGUGCAGAGCCUUCUGAGUCCACAGGAUAGAGGAGAGACCGUGGGGUGGAGGGCGGACACCGGCUGGGCUGCAGGGCUCUCGGGCCUCAGGUCACCGAGCAGGUUGACCUCUGGGGGAGCUGGGCGGGCUGAGCCGGCCGGGCCUCCUAGCAGGAGCACCGAGCUGGGUGAGGCCGCAGCCCCACCUUCUGCAUGGUGCCUUUGCCACGGUGCCCAGACGUUCCCGGGGCCAGGCAGGCUGCGGGGCUGGGGCUCCGGAUGCAUUCUUGGGGCAGCUGGAGAGCCACACUCGGCUGGCCUCCCUGUGGGUGCUGCCUGGCCAUACAGCCCUCUCCGGCCAGCCGCCUGGUCCUGGGAGGAGAUGAGGGCAGAGCUCUAGCAGGCAGCUCAGAUACCCCUGUCCUGAACCCCAAAGGUGCUGGACCGUUCCCAGAACUCUCCACAGAGCAAAGGGGAGGCCUCGGUUAGCCAGGAAGGAAAUCGCCUUCCCUUCCUUCCUCCUGCUUUGAUUCACCUCAACAAAUACUUACCAUCACCUGCUCUGCGCUGGGCCCUGUGCUGCCCCGAGGGCUCCCGUGAUGGCAGAGUGCAGACGGGCGGGCAGGUCCUGCAGUGCAGCCCCCUCCUGGCUUGGUCUGAGCCCACUUUCUCCAGGAAACCUGCCCGUGCACCCGUGCGAGGUCGGUUGGUUUGAGAGCAGGAAGGCACCUCGGGCUGGGGUAGAAUCUCACUGCCGCCUCCCAGGGCCAGGGGGCAUAAGAGACUUCUCUGGGGUCUGGUCUCUCGCCCCUCACUGGCUUCAGUCCUUGGGUCCGAGGCGGGCGGAGGGAGCUGCGAGUCUGGUCAGCACCUUCUCUGAGCUCUCAGGCUGCGUGAUCCCUGUGCCUCCCCGGCUGGCGCCCCAGGGCAUGGCCUGAGCUGCGUCCCUCCUCCUGGGCUAAUCGGGCCUGCCACCCGAAGGCCCAGCUCCCCUCAGACGGUGGCCAGGAUGUGGAUAGCGCUGGUAUGGUUACCCACACGUAAUAGCAGGACAGUAGCAGUGGGCAUUAAUCACGACACAGGCGACAUCUGCCAGGAAUGGGCUGGACCCACAUGAGAUGGAAACUGAGGCUCCGAGUGGCGAAGUGACUUGCGCAUGGCUGCACAGCUGAUGGGGCAGGGCCUGGUGUGCUCACAGGUCUGCCAGCCUUAGGGCUUCCCACACUUUUCUAAGUCAGGGAGUGUGUCAGUUUCCUAGAGCUGCUGUAACGGAGGGCUUGAAACAACAGAAGUUUAUUCCCUCCCAGCUCUGGGGGCCGCAAGCCCGAGAUCAAGAGUACCAGGGCUGUGCUUCCUCUGAGACUUUUCCAGCUUCUGGUGCGGCCGACGCUUGGUGCUCCUUGGCUUGCCCUGUGUCACCUCAGUCUCUGCCUCCGUCACCUCUCCCUCUGUGUCUCCAUCUUCACGUGGCAUCUCCUCUUCCUAGAAGGACAUCAGUCAUACUGGAUUAGGGCCCACCCCCAUGGCCUCACCUGCAAAGACCCUCUCCAAAUAAGGUCACAUUCGCAGGUACGAGGGGUUUUGGACAAGAACAUAUCUCUGGGGGAAAGGGGGACAACUCAACCCACAAUCGAAAAGAAACAGAUCAGGGGCAGAGCCUGAAGCCAUGAGUUCCCGGUUUGAAAUUUCUUUAGAGUCUCAAGUUUCAUCUUAAAAAUUCUUGCAUUUCAUACAUUAUUCUCUAUUUUAAAUUCAUGUUUGUUUUCAUAGGAAAUAUUAUUUCUUCAAAGCUCUGACACUUUGGUGAGGAGGAACAUGUAUAUCCUAUGGCUUCAUGAGCCUCCAGGACAUUUCUAAAUUUCCUCAGGGGAAUUUAUAUCCCAGUUGGAAAAGUAUCAACCAGCAGAAAUUCAUUUAAUUCCCUUAAAAACCCAGAGAGGCAGAUAUAUUUAAACAAAGCGGAAACUGAGGCUCCUAGAGGUUCAUGAUCUGCUAAAAUCACACCGUAAUGGAAUUCGGUUCUUCUGGCUCCUUGAUCGGCUCUUCUGCUGUAAGCGUGUGACCCGGGGGGGCGGGGGGCGGGGGGGAAUAGGCGUGUGCCCUUCCCCACACGCCCACAUGUGCAGGGAGGGAUUUUUGUACCUGUUGUGAAGUUCAGUUACAUGAAUUCUGGAACAUAAACAUAGUUUGCUACAUAAAACCAUAAAUUUUUCAGUAAGAUAGAAAAGAAAAUCUACCCACACCGCAUUCAAACGUUAUAUUCGCAAAUACUCAUGUUAGAAACGCCCUUCAGUGUUUGCUUGUGAGAAGGGGCGGUGUUCUUCAUCAGCUCUGCUGGUUAUUUGGUGGUUAUUUAGGUCGUUAGUGGACUCUGCAUGGAGAGAGUUGUUUCCAGCAGCUGCUGUGAGCGGCUCUGAGUGAAAGUACUCGUGUUAGGUGGGUGCCCACCCGGCUUCACCCAGCCCCGCCCGUUUACCCGGUCGCCCACCCUCCCUCCACGCAGCAGACCUCUGCUGGGUAUCACUGGGUGACACACGCCUCUGCCCGCAAGGAGCUCGUGCGCUGGAGCACAGGGGCCCCUGACACGAGACUUCCUCGUACCCGGGAAGGAGCAAGGGGGAGCCUCGGGGGCUGGGAGAACAGCCCCGUCCGCGUGCCAGGCGGGCCGAGUGUGCAUGUGCGUGUGCACGUGCGUGCGAGUGGGCAGGUGGCAGCCCCAGAGCUGCCCAUCGGCUCGGUCUCACCUGGCAUCCAUGGCCCCGCCCUGAAUCCGCCUCCUUGCCUCCGGGGGUGGGUGAAGCCAGGACACCCGUUGCAGACGUGAGCACCUGCCCAAGCCAGCCCCGGACGCCAGGCUGGGACCCUGACACCCCUGCCCUGCCCAGGCAUUGGGCAGCCUGGUCCUGCCCCCCCCCCCCCCCCCGUUUGCUCCCAGAGGCCGUCGCCCUGGUCUGGGGCUGUGUGAGCAUCUCCUUGUUUUCACCCACAGAUCCCAAGGGUUCUCAGGAGGAUCUGCUAGAGGAAGGAGAUAAUUUAGGCGACACCCAUGCAGGGUGAGUCUGAGGUCUGCUCGGGAGGCUCUCGGGUCUUAGUUCUGCCACCCUGUUGGCUGAGGGAACACCAGCUACUACUUCUGAGUGUCAUGGCGCAGAGCGCCGUGCUGCCUCCCCAGGGCCACUGUUGUAAUCCUCUCUGCAGGGAUUGCUUGUUUCCCUCGCCAGAGAGGUUAGGUGACUUGCCCAGUGUCUUCCAGCCAGGAAGCGGUGGAGCAGUACUGCCUGCCGUACCCUGUGGCGUCUCGGUGUUUCCGGCCCCUUGGUCCUGGCCUGGGGGAGGAUCCCGGGACACAGAGCUGACGUUUCUCAUGGAACCAGCCAGCAAUGCGUGUCAGUGAGAGAAACUGGACGGGCCACAGUGCCCACAUCUCCCAGCUGCCUUGUCUGGGUGCCUGAAACUUCUCCACUUGAGCACCUUUCCUCUGUGUGGAGUUAACCGUGUCAGCAUCCUUGGGGAAGCAACCCACGCCGCCACCAGCACCGGUACAAACAAAACCUGGCGUAGAUGUCCAGGCUGGUCCUGGGUGGGAACGGCAUCCCGGGUCCAGGAUCUCUCUGAGUCCUCAUCUCUAUUGUGAGUCUGAGGUUCCAGGGUAGGAAACUGAGGCCCAGAGGGGCUCCCAGAGUUGCCCAAGGUCACCCCACAAGUAAAGAAUUGAUGUUCAACUCUUGAACGUGCGGUGAUGACAAGGACAUUUGUAAGUGUCUGAAAUUGAUAUGCUCCUGUCACACCAGCACUGAGGCUAAUCUGGGAACAAAUUCUAGUGAGAUGCCACCUGCAGGCUGGUAGCAACUCUUUAUGGCAAGAGGAAUACAGCAGUAAUAAUACUCACUGCCGCCUUCAAGGGCCCUCUCAGCACAGUGGUGAUCCCAAGCGCUUAGCACAUAGAGAUUAUGUUUGAUCUUCAAACAACCCUGCAGACAGGCAUUCUCAUUUCCCAGUUGAGGAUGUGAUGGCGGCAGAGAAGUUAUUGAUCUGACCGAGACCAUCCAUUGGUGUGGGGAGGAUCUGGUCCUGACCCCAGAGCUUUUCAGUUGCACCCACUCGUUUUCUAGAAGUUUCGCUACAUGAUUAGGAACGUCCUUUGCAAACAUGAUUAUUUGCAUCUGCCCUUAUACCAGAUGCUAGGCUGAACCAAGGGAAGAGGUUUUGUCCACACCAGGUGAGCGUGGGGUGCAGGAGGCAGCAGUCGGGUGCCCGGCCGGGAACGGAUGUGGGUCCUCCCGCCUCCCGAUACGGUCCUACCUCUCCCUCAGGCUUGCCGCUCAGCAGGCCAGUCUUUCCACCAAAAACCCCGACGGGGGCUGCGCCAGCCUUUGUGAAUGAGGAGGGAGAGGGGUCGACAGAGUCUCGGGGGCAGAUGGACAAGGAGAGGCCCAGGCAGUGGGCCUCUGGGGUGGAGGGUGGCAGUGAGGAGACGUGCCCUCUGGGUAAGGUGAGUGUACCUCGGGACAGUCUGGGCAAUGCCCGGAGCCUGGGGGGCACUGGGGUCAAAGGCUCCCAGAGGAGCAGGGAAACUGAGGCCCCAAAUGUGUCUUCAAACUUCUGUGGACCCAUCUGCUCAGCAGCCCCUCCUAGAACAGCCGCGUGCGCAAGCACGGUGGCCCCCGGGCUCUGUGAGCCUCUCGCGGGGGAGCUGGGCUGGGGUGAAGGGCAUGGAGCAGGGCGUCCACUGGGGCUUUACAGGAGGCGGCACCAAGCUGCACGCACGGGGGGAGAGCAAAGAGAUGGUCUUGUGGAGAAGAGAAGCCGUAGAAAGAAGAGCUCCAGCACCGAAAGGGGUGGGGAAGGGCUGCAGCACUGGAGCAGGGCUGGCGCACAUCAUCGUGUUGCUGGGCUCCUAGCUGCCGUCAGAAGCAACCCAAGUUUUAAAGAGAGAGCGAACCUCUGAGAAGAGAAGGUGACGUGUGCAAAGAGAUAAGGACGCGGGGUCAGGGACGAUGGCCUCGGCGGCCGCAGCUCCUGAGCCAGUAGGGAGCAGGCGGCCACUCCAGCCCCUCGAGAUCCAAGCCACAGUGACAGGGCCGUGCUACGUCCAGCUCGGAGGGCUCAAAGGGAAGCUUCUAGAUAGAAAACUCUGUUGGAACAGCCACCAAUCAGUCACUGGCCGAGGGCCACCCCAGGGGACUGAGCAAGUGCUGACCAAGUGGCUUCAGGAGCCUGAGGUCGGUGCUCCCAGGAGAGCUGCGGGCGAAGCCACAGGGAGCGCCGGCAGCUGACGCCCAAGAGGGGUGCCCGGAAGGAGUCCCAGGGACCCGGGUGUCUGGGUGGAGCCAGACAGUGUCCAGCGUGGCGAGCGGAGGCGAGGGAGGUCCAAGGGCCGCCCGGAGCUCUGCGGGCGUCCGUCGACUUGCUUCCACUCUGUCUUCAUCCUCUUUCCCUCCCAGCCUGUCUCCAGUGCUGGGCGUCUCAGGCUCAGAUCCUCCAGACACUCUGUCUGCGGCCCCCAGGGAUGGGAGACGAUGGUCUCCUGGCUGCAUGGGGAGUGAUACCCACUGCGGGUCCAGGUCUCUGAAGAAAGACUUUCCAUCACUCCCCUCUCACCAACGCCAGGCCUCCUGUGGUUCAUCGACUUCAAGAGCUUCAAGGGCCUGCGAUUCUGCAAGGCAAACUUGACCCUUACCGCCGCUGACCUGCUCUGCAGGCCCUUAUGUGUAACUUCAGUGCUGCUACGUCCAUUACCUUAGCUCCAUGUGCUUCUGGACAGUCCGUGAACUCUCACUGCUGUUGCCCCUUUGUCUCUGAGCCCCCAUCACGCUAUGGGGCUGGGGGAACCACAGGUGAUAAGCACACGGGCCAAUCUGCCAUUGCACCGGGAGCCAGGCUCUAACUAUUCACCCAUCAGCUUGCCUGGGACAGAUGCCAGCCCCGGGGUCAGAGGCAGGACUGGCGUUGGGGCUUGGAGCCAAGGUUCUGACUCAAGCAGAGACAGGGCUUCAGUAAGAAGUCAGGGUGGAGGGCGGAGGCUCCAGGGGACUGCCAGGCCCGCUUGCGAAGUGGCUGUGCAGGCUGGCCAGGGCAGGGCACACAUAAGCUGGGGCUUUGACUACAGCUGGGUGACCGGGCAGGGCUGGCCUCAGAGGGUCAGGAGGCCCGGAAGUAGAUGGUAAGCAGCAGAGCUCCAAGGGCCCCGGAGCGGAAGGCAGGGCAUCAGAGAAGACAGGAGAGAUGGGCUGGUGAGGCCGGUGGGCAUGGCAGGCAGUGUCCAGGCGCCAGGGCAGGGCAAGUGGCGCCUCCCACUGUGGUCCGGGCUGAGGAUGGGCCCCGCUCUGGACCAGAAGCUCUCUGUCCGUGGCCCCCGGUCAGGAUGGGCCGCAGCACCGUGGCCUGGGGGGGAGGCUAGGCAAGGGCCCUGGGUUAGGGUGGAGAGGCUAGUGGGCCCAGAGUCACAGAAUGGAGAGAAAAUGAGACAGACCCUCCAAGCGCUGGCGAGAGUAUCACUCUGGAGGAAGCCGCCCAGUAGCAAGUGGAUAAAAAACACAUUCCUGGAGGAGCCCAGAGACAAGGGGACUCGGGGGAGGCUCUCAGAGGAGGGCUGACUGAGUCAGAGUGCCAUAAUCCUCAUCUCUGCAGGUGCCACGUGGGGAGGGGCGGCCUGUGGUGAAGGAGUCUUCAGCCAACGCCAUCGUAGGUGGGUCAGGGCGGGGCAGUGCCCAGCAGGCCCCUCCGUCCCAGAAGGGUUGCUGCAGGGCCUGGGCCUCCGAACCCUAAAGGAUUUAUGUACCCACCAGGCCUCUGGAUGUCAGCCUUGCAGGCUCGGAACCGGAUUUGCCAACUCGGCAAGAUGGAUCCAUCUCUGGAGGAAGGGCUCACGUUGACCAAGCUCACGUGACUGAUGGAUAAAAUGUCAAUUUAUCAAUAAUGAAUGUCAUACGGACCAACUUUUUUUUUUGGCUGUGUUGGGUCUUUGUUGCUGCACACAGGCUUUUCUCUAGUUGCGGCGAAGGGGGGCUACUCUUCGUUGUGGUGCGUGGGCUUCUCAAUGCAGUGGCUUCUCUUGUUGUGGAGCAUGGGCUCUAGGCACGCGGGCUUCAGGAGUUGUGGCACAUGGGCUCAGUAGUUGUGGCUCUUGGGCUCUAGAGCAUAGGCUCAGUAGUUGUGGCGCACAGGCUUAGUUGCUCUGUGGCAUGUGGGAUCUUCCCGGACCAGGGCUCGAACCCGUGUCCCUUGCAUUGGCAGGCAGAUUCUUAACCACUGCACCACCAGGGAAGUCCCUUGUUGAAGUGUUGAGGAGAAUUCCUUCUUCUUGCAUUUUAAGUUCUGGAGGCCAGAAGUCCGAGAUCAAGGUGUCAGCAGGGUUGGUUCCCUGUGAGAGGUGUGAGGAAGGACAUGUUCCAGGCCUUUCUCCUUGGCUGGUAGAUGCCACCUUCGUGCUCACAUGGUGUUCUCACUAUAUGCAGGCCUGUAUCCGAAUUUACCCUUUUUAUAAGAACACCAACCGUAUUGGGUUAGGAGCUCACCCUGCUCCAAUAUGACCUCAUCUUAGCUAAUUACAUCUGCCAGGACCCCACUUCUAACUAAGAUUGUUUUCCGAGGUCCUGGGGAUUAGGACGUCAACAUAUGAAUUUUAAGGAAACACAAUUCAAACCAUAACAGAGACUGAAUUCAAAGGAGCGUAGAAAACCAGGUCUGGGCAUAGCCAACAGCCAUGGCCGUUCUAGAGGCUUCCGAGCAGGAAUUAAAAGAUCUGAUUUAGAGCCCGCACAGUUGGGCCAAGCAGCUAGCUGCCCCUUAGCCUCUCGAGAGGACUGGCUCACCAUGCCCAGGUGCUGUGUCUCUCUCUUCAGAAUUCGAAUCCCAGCAGGGAGCAGCUGGCUGGUCUAGUUGAGCCAAGAGCCUGACCCCUUAGCCUGCAAGGGGGCGGCAGGAGACAGUGGGGAGCUGAGGACAGGGCCCUCCGCGGUGGGCCCUCCAGACCGUGUCCCACGUGGAGGAGUCACUCCCGCGUGUACUGGGGGAGCGGCAGGGAAGAGGGAAGGGGCCUUCCAGCCCUGCCUCUUUUAAGUGGCUUUCACACCUCUGCUGUGAUCUGUGUGCAUUGAUGUCACGGCCUAAUUCUCAGAGAAGGUUCACAGAUGCGGACUCUGAAGCUCAGAGGUCUGGCCAGGAGCCUGGAGACCCAGGUGCCCCUGACUCCACCGGGGAGCCCUGGGCCAGCCCUCUUUCAUGGGGAGCAUUUGGGCCAGGUGAGCUCUAAACACCUUACAGCCCAAAUGUCUGCACAGGUAGUGUGUGUGGAGCAGUUUCUACAGCCCCUGCGUCCUCUCUUCCUCAUCUCCUCCUAAGAAACUGAGGCAGCAGCCUCCCAGCAUCGGGGAGGGAGCUGGGGCCAUAUUUCCAGGAGGGCUGGCCAGGGGAACGUGCCAGGCUAUUUUUGCCAAAAUCUCGGCUUCUGUACACUGGUGCCGAAUAGAAAUAUGAAGACGGAAUUUAGGAGGAAAGAGAAAGUGUAACUUUACUCUUUGCCAGGCAAAGAGGGAACCCUGCAGCCUAGCGCCUCCGAAGACUGUGCCCCCCACCCUUCCAGAGGGUAGUGAGACGUUUUAUAGCAAUAGUUCAAAGAGGGCGUGAUCAGUUCAUGGACAUUCUUCUGAUUGGUUGGUGGGGAGGUAAGUGGGAGUCGGCAUCAUCAACCUUCUGGUUCCAACCGGUCUGGGGUCCACGUGCUUGUGGGCAGCAUAACUUCUCCCACCUGGAGGGUGUUUCAGCAUCUGCAAAACAGCUCAGAGAUAUUGUUUCGUGUAUCCAUUGAUGGGGCACCAGCACUUUGCCCCAAGGCCGAACUAUUGUUCUCUUGACUUUGUUUCUCCCUUGUCUUGCAUUCCCUCCCUUCCCUAAUUAACAACUGCUUGACUCUGCCCCUUGGAACUCAGGGAAGGUCAUGGAGGCUGAAUGAAGCCUGUUUCCUGUAAUCAGAGAAAUGGGGGACACAGACAUCAUGCCCAGGAGCCCCACAGGGCCCUGCUCGGUAUCAUUAUCUGUUGGGACUUCCCUGCAGGGCCCGAGAGGAGCCAGUGGGCGUCCCUCCUGAGUACACGGACCUUCCACCCGCUGGCUCAGGCCAGGCCUCCCGGCAAGGUCAGCAUCCCGUGCGGCCCGGACCCCCAUGCGGUCACUGAUGGGAGGCCUCGGCCAAACUCUUCUGAGUGGCGAGCUACCAACAUGCAGAUGGCGUUGGGGAGUGAGAGAUGAUCUUGCAGCGGAGGUGGGGUAGAGACCGCCGCCCCCCAGCCCUGGGUGCGUUCCCGCCUCUGCCCGGAGGGGCCUCGGCUGGCAGCCAGCUUGCCACCUCUGGGUGCAGCCACAAGCUUGAAGCCCGGUGUCUGAACGGCCACAGGGACUGGGAUGUCUUUGAGGAAUCACAGAGAGAAGGAUGUCCAAGCUACAGGAGCCUUCAGCUAGGAAAUAAGCCUCCGAGAAAGGCGGUACUUGGACAACUGGACAAACCAGACACUGAGCUGGUUCCUGACCUUCAAACUUCUGCUCUCUGAGAGUUCCUCAAACUGGGGUCCCCUGGGUCUGCUUGGGAGUCUAGGAAUUCUUUACAAAGAAGACUUUUAAUUGGGUGUUUGUAACCUAAGAAAAAUCUAAAAUGAAUACGAUUUGCAUAUCCUGGCUCAUCCUGACAAACCUCUAAGUGGGGGACAGCCAUGCGCUGUCUGGGGCCCAGAUCACGUGGGGGCUCUUUGAACUACUGCAGGCUGGUGAGAGAAGGACCCAGAGAAGCUGGAUGAUGUCAUGGCCCCCGGCUGGGGAGGGCGGGCAGCAGGGAGGGAAAGGCGGUCAGCCCCAAAGAGGAGCCAGGCCUACGGCUCUGCAGGUCUGAGGUCUGCGGUUCCCGCCAGCCUCCGGCAGCUCCAGGGCGUGCAGCUCCUCUGACACAGCCCCGUGAUUCAUGCCUUAUCUUGGCUCAGUAACUGGAGCCAAGCCAGAGGCAGAAUUUUCUAGGCUGUGUGGCAACAAGAUCAGCCAUCCUGAGAGAACUGGGUGUGCCAAGGUUGGGGGGCGGGGCUUGCAGCAGAAGUUGGGAGGCUCUGAGUGAUCCCCAGGGCAGCAGGGACUGUGCAAGAGCCAUAAAGAAGAAACCGGCCCCAGACACACGCAGAGCCCCUCCUUCCAGGCACGUAAAUUGCAUGCCUCCGUUGGGUGCUGCCCGCCUCCUACCCCUUACCCACUACCUAACACGGAUCUUCACUCACUGCCCUGAGGACAGCCUUGCAGGGAGGGACAGAGCCAGGCUGACACCAGGAAGCCCACAGGUGGAUAGGCAGGUGUCCGCCCACGGGUGGAUAGGCAGGUGUCCGCCCACGGCCGGUCAAGUUUCUGCGAUAUUGGUCAUGGAUUCUGUUUGGGCCUCUGAGAAGCUGCGCUUUGCCCUGCCCUGGAGGUGUUGACAGAGUGGCCUGGAAACCUGGGUCAGCAACGGGCAAAUCCCGACAAGUGGCCCCAGUGCCAGGAGAGACUUAAGAAAGCAUGAGCUCAGCUGGGGACCGAGAACCCACUGUCAUGACACAUCUCGUUUCCGGGCCCGCCCAGAAACCCUUUCUCUGGAGGCAGCGUGGCGUAAGGGAAGGGCCGGAGCUUGGAAGGCUCGCUGUGGGUUGUCACAGAGCCCUCGGUUCCCUGGGGUUUGGGCUGGAGCAUCUCGGGGUCCCCCUGGCUGACUCUCUGGCCAGGGACUUCCUUGGAAGCUGGCUGACUCGCGCUGUAGCCAGCCCGGGACGAAGGAGUAAAACCCUGACAGUUAGUAGAAUCCUUACCGCCCACCCACCCCCCGCCCUGUCCCCAGGACAGCCUAGACCAGGGCCAUUGGUGCCCUAGGGCCACCACCAGUGGGAAAUCCCAAAAGGACAGGGAGCUUCAAAAGGGGGACAGGCUCGCAACUGACUUCAUUUGGAGCCAGGCUCCAAGAGGCUUAAGAAGGCUUUAGGGUUCUGCUGGCAGUGGGUAUGAAAAUCCCUUUGCUACAAAUGCUCUGAAGCAAGUCAUGAAUUUCUCUCAUCCAUCUGUCCAUCCCCACCUGCUCGUCUGGCCCAGCUGAUGUCCGGCGAGCAUCCUAGCACAGACGUGGCUGCGGCAGCUCCGGGGCUGGAAAAGGAGUGGUCCUGCCAGUCCAGCCACUUCAGCCAGCCCCAGGCAGCACCACAGACUCAGACCUUGAGAUACCGUCCACCAGGGAUGGAGCAGGAGGCCUGAUGAGGACACAACGUACAGCAAGGGGGACACGAUUCUGCCUCAGCACAGCCUGGACCUCCGCCCUGAGAGCAGGGAAGGGCCAGGCUGAGGGAAGUAUAGCCUUACACCGAGGAUCCCAAGUCCCUAGGUAGGAGAAACGCGCAAAAGCUGAGAUGAGGAAACCAAGACGUAGAGGGAAAAAAGUGCCUGGCCCAGAGUCACUCAGAGUCAAGGUUGACCCAGGAACCUGGAAGGGGAGGGAGGAGAGGAAAGAAGGAGGGGAAAGAGAAGGGGAAGGAAGAGAAAAGGGGGGCUCUGGAGCUGAGACUGGAAUUAGCAGGGGAACUGCAGAGAUGUCCUAAGCCCCAAGCCGGCUCACCUGGCCUUCUCUUGUCCAGAGGUCCAGUCGCUGGGCGUUCAGGGACCCACACAGCCCCACCUUCUCCCAGUGGCUAGGCCUGUGUUCCCGCUGCUGUGUGCGCCUGCCCUCUGGUGGCAAGAUCUGCAAGUGCAUCACCACUGUAGGAUGCAAGUCCAUUCAGCACCUACUGUGCCCCAGGCGCAGAGCUGGUAGUCAGAGAAAAAGGAUAAUGGCCCCAGUUCUGAGAGCGCAUGGAUUAGGGUGGAAGACAGAGGAGAAAACAGGCCAUGAUAAUACAACGAGGAAGGGACUUACACUGGGGAAGUUUGGGGUGUUACAAAAUAGGGCUGGUUUAAAACAGGACAGCCUCAAAUCUGAGAGUAGGAGCCUUUCCCAGAAGGAGGCACCGCCAGGUCCGGGAAGAUUUUGCCAGCCACCACUCCGGAGGCCCUAGGCUUCCCAGGAGGGGUGGGAGGGCGCCAGGGGUACUCUCCAGUACUGGUCUGUCUGCGGCCAGAGCCCCAGAGCCAGAAGGGACGCCUGGAAGAGGUUUGUGACCAUGUCUGCAGACGAGCCUUGGGGCUGUGGCGUGAGGGGUGGAGAGGAUCCCAGCCCUUCUCCCUGUCUGAGCCCAGCCUCACACUAGAGAGGCCUCGGGGUCAGUUAGUUAAGUACCUGGGCUUCGGAGCCAGACUGUCUGGGGCCUCACGGCACCAUGUGACCUUGUGCAAUCCCUCUCUCCGAACUUCAGUUUCCCCAUCCGUAAGAUGGUAGUAAGAAGGCGAGUGCCCACCUCAGAGGGUGGCCAUGGGAGUAAAGCACAUGGAACGGCAUGUGGCACGUGGUAAGUGCUGUUUACACCGGUCCUUCUUUCUUUUAAAAGUGUCCCCUCUCGGGACUUCCCUGGCAGUCCAGUGGUUAAGACCCCACCUUCCAAUGCAGGGGGUGCGGGUUCGAUCCCUGGUCAGGGAACUAAGAUCCCACAUGCUGCGCGGUGCGGCCAGAAGUUUUAAAAAUAAAUAACUAAUAAAAGUGUCCCCUCCCUCGCUCUGAUGCCAGACAGUGCCCAUGGGGCAGAGACCCCAAAAGAGGUGUCCUGCCCGAGGACGCUGGCUCUGCUGAGCCUGGAACCAAGAGCCGGGCACAGGCCUGGGUGCUGCAGAGACUGUGCCCUGAUUCCAAGCGACCUCAUGUGAUUCCCCGAGGCCCGGAACUGCUCUCCUCUGGGCGGGCUGCUCUGGAUUCUCCCACGGGCCCUGUGGGCAGCUGCAGGCUUAUUUCUGAGCUGCAUCGUCCAGUUUGCACGAAAGCAUUGGCUACAAGCCACACAUCUAUUGAACCUGUCUUUCUGGGGGCGAGCUCUCAAGCCUCACCACUCAAAGCGUGGUGUCAUGCUAACCAGCAACAUCGGCGUCGCGUGGGAGCUGGUUGGAAGUGCAGACCCUCAGGCCCCGCUCCUGACCUACAGAAUCCGAACCUGCAUUUUAACCAGAGCCCAGGUGACUCACGUGCCCAUUACACCUCGAGGAGUGAGAGUGUCUUAAGCAACGGGGCUAGGGGGGCAAAGGCAUUGCAGGGUGAUGCACGUGCCCACUGGGCCUUCCCUGGGCAGCACCCCUGCCAGGGGCCAGAAAUUCCAGGGAUGUUGGCCAGGUUCGGAGCGUCCUGGCCUCCACACAGCCCGGGCAGCGCUGACCAGCAAGUGCUGAGAGGGACAGAGGCACACAGGCCCCUCUGAGCCCAAGUCUGCCCAGGGGGAGUCAGGAAUCUGAGCUGAGACUUGAGGGGAAAAUUGCAGUUGGCCAGGCAGACGAGUGGCAGAGGGCGUUCCAGGAAAGGGGACAACCUGUACCGAUUCCAGGGCUGGCGUUUUCAGAGGAGAGGACUUCGCAGACCUCAUCCUAACACCGUCAAGCCCUGGGGCAAUCGGAGGCCCACAUCCUCUGUGGCUAAAUAUUUUAAAGCUAUAAAUCAAGCUCAUAAACUAUUAAAUAAAGUAUGUUCCGGCCUCUUACCUUGACAAAUAUGCCUUCACGAGGGCCUGCAAGGCCAGGUUCAAAUUUAGAAUUUUGGGCCUCCUUGGAGUUAGACACCAAAACGUGAUGGUGCGGGGGAGCCAGCUUUGCCCGCCCCUUCUGAUCCCACCCACCCUGCACCACGAGGACACAUGCAUACGGGCACACGCGUGCAAUCGGCCCAGGCUGCCCAUCCUCACACCCCUUGCCCCACAAACAGCUGCCUCGGGUGGCCUCCAGGAGGACAGACCCCAGGAGCAAGCCCUCGGAGUUCCUGGAAUUGGAGGAGGGUAACCCUGGGAGGGCGUCUCCUUGACCCCAUCGGGGGCACGCCAGCUGGAGAGGCUCUGUGACAACGAAACUAUGAUACCCUCUAUAAGAUACACUCUAAUUUCAGGGAUGUUAAAAUGUCAACAAAAUGUGCAUUUUUUUAAAUUUAAUUUUUUAUUGAAGAGUAAUUGAUUUACAACGUUGUGUUAGUUUCUGGUGUACAGCAAAGUGAUUCAGUUAUGUGUAUAUAACUGAUAUAUAUAUAUUUUUUUCAUAUUCUUUUCCAUUAUGGUUUAUUACAGGAUACUGAAUAUAGUUCCCUGUGCUAUACAGUAGGACCAUGUUGUAUAUCUAUUUUAUAUAUAGCAGUUUGUAUUUGCUAAUCCCAAACUCCUAAUUUAUCCCUCCCCCACUCCCUUUCCUCUCUGGUAACCAUGAGUUUGUUUUCUAUGUAAGUCUGUUUCUGUUUCGUAAAUAUAUUCAUUUGUGUCAUAUUUUAAAUUUCACAUAUAAGUGAUAUCGUAUGGUAUUUGUCUUUUUCUGACAUACCUCACUUAGUAUGAUAAUCUCUAAAUCCAUCCAUAUUGCUGCAAAUGGCGUUAUUUCAUUCUUUUUUGUGGCUGAGUAAUAUUCCAUUGUAUCUAUGUGCCACGUCUUCUUUACCCAUUCAUCUGUCAAUGGACAUUUAGGUUGCUUCCAUGUCUUGGCUAUUGUGGAUAGUGCUGCUAUGAACAUUGGGUGCAUGUAUCUUUUUUUUUUCCUAAUAGAUUUUACUUAUUUAUUUAUUUAUUGGCUGCGUUGGGUCUUCAUUGCUGCACGUGGGCUUUCUCUAGUUGCGGUGAGCGGGGGGCUACUCUUUGUUGUGGUGCGAGGGCUUCUCAUUGCGGUGGCUUCUCGUUGCGGAGCACAGGCUGUAGGUGUGCGGGCUUCAGUACUUGUGGCACGUGGGCUUCAGUAGUUGUGGCUCUUGGGCUCUAGAGCGCAGGCUCAGUAGUUGUGGUGCACAGGCUUAGUUGCUCUGCGGCAUGUGGGAUCUUCCUGGACCAGGGAUCAAACCCGUGUCCCCUGCAUUGGCAGAUCCUUAACCACUGCGCCACCAGGCAAGCCCCGUAUCCUUCUGAAUUAUAGUUUUCUCUGGAUACAUGCCCAGGAGUGGGAUUGCUGGACCAUAUGGCAACUCUAUUUUUAGUUUUCUUGAGGAACCUCCAUACUGUUUUCCAUAAUGGCUGCACCAACUUACAUUCCCACCACCAACAACAAAAAAAAUUGUGCAUCUUACAUUGGAUGUCCAGCAGCCUUCUGAUUCCCUGGCUGUAAGAGUGUUUUUAAGCCUAGUGUUGCACUGAAUCUAUAGGUCAAUUCACAUAGUAUUAGCAAUAUUGACAAUUUUAAACCUUAAUGAUGUUAAAUCUUCUGAUCCACAAACAAGGGAUAUCUUUCCAUUUAUUUAGGGCUUUAAUUUCUUCAAACGGUGUUUUGUAGUUUUCUGUGUAAAAGCCUUGCACUUCUUUGCAAAGCCUUUUCACAGUUAUUCCCUCUUCAGAGCCUUGAAAACCCUCUGUGAAGUAGAGAUCACACUCUGUACAUCAAAGAUGCCUCAACUAGUAAGUGACAGAGCUGGGAUUUAAAUCCCUGGCCCACCAGCAGAGCUGGGCCUAGACUUGCUCUGCUGGGGGCCGCUCAUUCCAGCCCCUAACUGCAUAGGGACCGAACAUCUCUCCUCUGUCUGGGAAACCUGCUGACCUGGUGACAGUCCCUCUGACUUGGAGGGGGGGUUGGAGGGAGGGACAGGGGCAGGACUGGCAUGAGAUGCUCAGGGUCAGGGAAGGAGGGUCCAGGGGAGGGUCCCACACACAGGCUACAGGCAGGGAGGGAACCUGUUUGGUUGAAACAGUGUCCCCAGCCCUUGGCUUCCAUGAAAACCACCUGGGCACUUAAAAAGUUCCCAGCGUCCAGGCUCCACUUCAGACCAAUUAAAGCCGAACCCUGGGAGCAGGGUCAGGGAAUCCGUGAUCUUAAAGUAACUCAGGUGAGGCUGCAGCUCGGGCGGGGGAACCGCCGGGUCAGGUGGUGAAGUUGGCCGUCAGUCCUGACCCAUCAGCUCUGCCCCAGCACACACUGAGGCCAGCAGAAGAGUCCAGACUUUAGAUCAGACAGACCAGGCUACAGUCCCGGGUGUGGAUCUCGGUUCCAUGUCACAAGUUCUGUGACCCUGGGUGCUUGACCUCUCUGACCCUCAGUUGAUGAAUCUGUGAAAUGGAGACAGGUAUACCUACCUUGAGAGACGGGAUCUGUUUCUCCUCUUCUUGAGCCUGGACUGGCCUGUGACUGCUCUGACCAGCAGGGUACAGCAGAAGGGACGCUGCACCAGCUCGGGGUCUAGACUCAAGAGGAUUGGCAGCUCCCCCCUCCAUGUCUUGGGCCUCUUACCUGACUUUUCAGGUGAGGAGAACAUAAGGCUGAGAGGUGACUUGCCCAAGUAAAACUAUCAAGUGCUCACUGCUUUCCUGGCUCUGAGGGAGGAAAAGGCAACAUCUGGGGCAGCAGAUUUGACCAGACUUUUGGAGUUUUGAGUCCUGGCUCUGCCACUCCCCAGCUGUGUGACCUUGGGCUGCUAGAUAACCCUCUCUGUGCCUAUGCCACUGCUUUUGUAAAAUGAUGAUAAAUGGUUGCACCUCAGGGCUGUUGCAGGGGUGAACUGAGAGUACCCUGUCUUGACACAGCGGCUAACAGCUACUGUUAGCAGGGAGGCUCUGCCAGCUCUGGCCUGGAGGUCAUUAGGGGCCUGGCCACAGCUGUGCUGAUCUGGUGGCUUAUUUUUGAGGAAGAAGCAGGACCCAGCACGGAAGCGCCUGGGAAAACCCCCUAUUUCCCACUGGUCCCCUCUUCUCCCCUCUGGAGACAGCAGAGCCAUCCAGGGGGUGUCAGGGUGGGGCAGGAUUUCCCCUCUUGUGACAGACCCCCACUUCCUCAGCUUGCGUAUCACGGCCAAGGUUCAAGUGUCAGGUGGGGCUGGGGAGGCAGCAUAAGUUUUGCCCUCCUCCUGAAGCCAAGGGCCCGUGACCCCACCUUUUCCUAGGGGUAAGCCAGAUGCCAGGUGGGCCUCCUGGUCCCUGGAUGCACAGGUCACCUCCUCUGGGCGCUCCUGGUUCUGAGGCCUGUGGAGGCACAUGGUCCUGCCCAGGUGUGCCCGGUUCCCAAGCGCCUCGGGGUUCCUGUUCCUCACGCGAAAACCUCAGACCUUCUCUGUGCUUCUCCCUGGUGAGCGCGUCUCCCCGAGCAGCACAGACCACCCCUGCGUGGAGUCCGUCUUCUCACUGUAGUGCAUCGGUCACAUCUCAGAUGACAGUGGACAGAGUCUGGGGCCAAAAAGGGCCUCAGAGAUGAUCUGAUCCAGCCCUUGAUCAGAAAAUCACUUUUAUUGUAGUCAAAUAUAACCGUGAUUUACCAUUUUAACCAUGUGUAAGUGUACUGUUCAGUGGUGACUGAUUUUUAUAGCUGAGGAAACAUUCAUUCAAAUGAAAUUCUCAGCAGAAGCCUGAUAUAAAACUGUCCACGUUUUGUGGCCCGUGAAGGGCUGGGCCUCCACAGCCCCUGCAGGAGCUGGGAGGGAGCAAAGUGCAGGGCACGGAGGACAGAGGCGGCCCUGGCCGUCGUUCCCGCCACCGCCCCUGCUCUCCAUCAGGCAUUUGGCCCCCUUGUCCUUGCCCUCCAGGCCUGGUCUGACCCGUGAACACCCCGUCCACUCGGGGACUCGUGGCCUGCUCCCCAGUGCCCACUGGGACCUCCAGCCACAGGUCAAGGCACUGUGGACAGUGGCUUAUGGCAGGUCUGGGUGAUGGACGAGGGGAUGCUGGGCCUGAGCCUACCAGAUAGGGACCAGGGCGGCGAGAUGCUGUCUAAAGCACUAAGGGUGCCCAUUCAGUGCCAGGAAGGACCCGCUGGCUGGCAGAGCCGCCCACAGAGGCACAGUUCUGAGAUGACUGGGCAACCGUGGAGCUGUGAGCUCAAGACACAGGCCCAUGGAGGAAGGAGCCUGGCCAUGGGCCAGCCCCCAGGAGCCCCGUCAGGCGCGCUUGGACUGGAAGGGACACAUUGGCUCCGUCCGUGAGGUGUUGGCACGCUGCCCGUCUGGAUGCAUUUCUUCUGAGUGAAAAGCGGGUCACGAGUGAACCCCUUGGAUGAGGGCUUGCGGUCCUCUGCCCCCGCCCAGCGGCGGGAGGCACAGCGUGAACAAGGAGGGCCCUUCGGGGACGGAGGGAGGGAGGGAGGAGAGAGGAGGACCCUGUGUCCCUGGUGGGCAGGAGGGCAUCCAGCUGCAGAAGGAGGCUUUGAGUCAGGAGAUGUGAUGAUUUUGUCCUCCACAUAGAGGGCCCACCACGCUCCCCUCCUUCCAAAGGCUUGAAGGAGGAGAACAAGGAAUAUAGGAGACGUUCUGUGAAGAAAAGCAGAUGAACAAAGCACUUACAGUUCAGAUGAGAAGCCUCCAACGUGAGUGAGCACAUCUGCAGCCUGAAAUCCCACAGCUGGACGGUGAGGUGCCGGAGCUGCCACCGAGACCUCACAUCCUGCCUGCACCUCACCCAGAGCCAGUGCUGGACCUUCGCAGAAAGGCCGCGGAGGGGGGAAUUUACUGCGCGGAGGCAGAGAAGAAGCUCCCCGACGUGCGUGGAAACAUCAGCCUCACAGUCACUGGAGUGACCUCCUGCAGGAGGAGACGGGAGAGGGGACAGGAGAGAACAACCUCCUUCCCUGCAACAGAAACGUCUUAUCUCUUCUGAGAAGGAAGCUAGAGAAAAGUGGGCGCCAGCUCUUCCCACUGAGGGGAAGCCCAGCUAGUGAGAAGCGGGGGGGACACGGACACCAGUCGUGGAGCAGAGGCCCGGGGCCGUGGGUCAGCAGGUCCCCGGGGCAGGAGGCCGCUGAGCCUCCAGGACUGAGGGACCCGGCUCACUUGCAGGGGUGAUGCCACAUUCGCAGCAGCAGCCCCGUGGGCCCAGAGACCUUUACCCGUUUUCUCUCCUAAAAGCAAUUUUGAUCAAUAGUUUUUAGUUUAAUUGAUACCGCACCUGCUCUUAUUGAAGUUUAAUAAAAUUGUGUUUCCUAAGACAGUGUUCUUCAAAGAUGGAUGAUUUUGAUAUAAUCAUUACGAAUACAUUAUUUCCACUUCAUUGGACCCUCUAGAGCUAGAUGGGAUAAGUAUUGCAUUUUGAUUGAAACACAAGGUCCACUAUUACUUAACCUGUAAUUGACUUGGACACGCCGAGAUGGAGACGCGUGAAAAAUAAAUCCAUUUCUAUAUUCUGGGGAAAAAACCGAUGAGAGUGGGCUCCUGCCCAGGGUGUCUACUGAGGGGCGCCCUGAAGCCCCGGAGCUUUUCCACGGAUUUAACCCUUCACGUCGCAGGUGGGGAAACAGAGAAUCGAUUUCCCUGGGUAACCCUGGGAAAUUCACGGCAGCACAGGUGCGAGCGCCAUGUCUCUUUGUUUCCAGUCCAGCUUUGAGCCGCGAGUUGCUCAAGAAGAAUAGGCUUCUCGGCCCCCACCUGUAAUUCUAAGAAAAUUUAAUCAGCUUCCUGGUGCUUUACAAAAAGAGCCAGCUCUUUCUACCUGUUUGCAGCCUGGCCUGAUGUUACCUUGGCAACAGCUGUCAACAGAAAUAUUGCCUCCCCCCCCGGGCCUGUCACAUCCUUUAUACCAGACAUGUGUGUGGCCAGGUGAAGGGGCAAAGCAGUUGGGCCUCGUAGACCCGGCCUCGGGGCUCCUUUCCGCUAAGAUCUGCUUACUUAUAACCCAAAGGAAAUUUGUCCUAAAAACAGGAUUUCCGUGCUCGCUUGGCUGGUUUUCUUUUUAUACUCUAUAAGGACUUAACGGGGAGAACCUUGCCGUUUGAAGAGGUUAUUUUUAACAGCAGUAUUAGCCUGACAUCCUAAACAUGGGAUGUUACAGGUCAGUAGGAAAACCCACCGGACCUCACCGUCCAGAGGAGAAAAGGAAAGCCUCUCCAGGAGAGCUGAUUGCCCAGAGUCUGUGUAAUUUAUUGGCGAUGCAGGGCUUGGACUUGGCUGGAGUCCUGGUUGCCUUUUAGGGGUUUGGCGUUACUGCAGGUCUGGCUUGCUGACAGCAACGCCGUGUAGGUGCUGCCAUCCCACGGGAGGGGCACAGGCUUGUUCGUGGCCUUUAUUAGAGAUGGGGCACAUUCUGGGGGCUAGAUCCUGAGUCAUCUUCUGGGAACCCCAUUCUCUUGCUCCCAACUCUCCCUUCCCUUGUCUCCCAACUGUCCGCCACGGGCUGGAGACCUGGAAUCUCUAGGGUUUGGGCAGGGGACGGACUGAGUGAGGUGGGCAGUGUGGGGCUGGUGAACUGGUCAUCUGUCCCCACUCGGCCUGCACGACACCUGCGGCUGGAGCUUUGUGUCUGUUCCGUCUCCCCUCAGUCAGGAUCCGAGGUCCAUUCUGCUCCCAAGGCCCCUCCUGGACUUCCACAGGCUCUGUAUGCGCCCCUGGCGUCUGGCUGCACCCCCAGGAGGGAGGGGGAAGGCUUGACCUCUCCCCUCUUAGGUCUCCGGCUGGGCCUGAGGAUUCAACUGACCUAAGACAGAUUAACAGGAGAAAAGCAUGCAGAGUUUUACCUGUACAUGGGGGCCCUACAGGAAAACGAAGGCCCAGAGACGUGGCAGAACCUAAGUGCUUAUAUACUAGGUUAGAUGAAGAAAGGAAACUGUGGAAAAGGAACGAAAACACCUGGAGAGGCUACGGGAGGAGAGUUAGUUCAACAAGGUCCGUCUGCACGGCAUCCUCCCUGGCUUGACUCCCUGUCUCUGAUGAUGGGUGUUUCUUCCUCCUGAAACAGGAACCCCAUUUUGAUCUGAUGGCAGCAGGGAUGCUUUCUGUGUUGGGGACAUGUGACGAACCACAAAGACCCCUUCGUGGGGGACACAUAUUAAAAUAGGCAGGAAAGUAGAUUUCCAACCGCCAUCAUGGUCUGCACCCCCGGGGAGAGCUGUGGACCCCGCUGUGGACCAAGGACGGGCGCUUGCUCCUGGUCACCCAGGCUACCAGCUGGGUUCCUCGUUUUACUAAAACGCUCACCUGUUCGCUGUACGGCCUCCCCGCCCCCCCACCAGAGUGAUCUCAUGUGCGUGGUUGUCUUUUCCAUGACUUGCAGGAUGCAACUCAGGCAGCAUCCCCCCUGCAGGCAGCCUUGCUCUGAGCUAAGAUGAGAUGUGCUACAGGGGAGGGAUGGGUGCAGAGAGUCGGGCUGAGGUUACUCCAGAGUCACACUCCAGAUCCCAUCGAACCCUCCAUCUGGACUGUCUGGAGGGGCUCACGCUCACCAGUUGCCAAGGGCUGUCCUGCUCAGAGCCCCUUCCCCAUGCUUGUCCUGGAAAACUUCUGCUCUUGCUUCCAGAACCAGUAGCUGAGGAGCCAUUUCCAUGAAGUUGAGUUGGGUUCCAGUACUAGACAGAGGUCCUGUUUUGGCUUUCCAUCAUGAGUCCCCCUUUCAUGUAGAGUGGUCCCCACUUCCUGCCUGCCUCCCGCUAUGGGAGCAGGGAGACAGAGUUCCCCCUCUUCUGCCCCCGACUGCAGGGCUUGUGUUGUGGUCCAGACCGUGACUGUGUCAUCAGUGGUGGAGGUAACCGUGCUGGGGCCCAGAGCCGGAGACGCAGGCUGUGACAGCAGCAGGUGUGCCUAGGUGGUGUGACAGCAGCAGGUGUGCCUAGGUGGUCUGACAGCAGCGGGUCUGCCUAGGUGGUGAGACAGCAGCGGGGUCUGCCUAGGUGGUCUGACAGCAGCGGGGUCUGCCUAGGUGGUGUGACAGCAGCAGGUGUGCCUAGGUGGUGUUACAGCAGCGGGUCUGCCUAGGUGGUGUGACAGCAGCGGGUCUGCCUAGGUGGUCUGACAGCAGCGGGUCUGCCUAGGUGGUCUGACAGCAGCGGGUCUGCCUAGGUGGUCACCACUGCCUUUGGCUGAUCUCACUGUGGCUCAUUUGAUUUCUGCCUCUGACUUGUAGCUUCCUAUCUAUUCUGUGAGCCUGCAACGUCCUUAAAAAAGUAACGACAACGAAACGAAAAGCAAAACCAAAACCAAAACAAAAGCCCUUGUUUGCUGCAGGCGGUCAGAAUUGAUCUGUUUUGCAGCCAAGAGCCCUGAUGGAUGGAGAAUCCUGCCCGGAACUCUGGGAUCCCGUGUGCUUCUCUGAGGUGGUUCAUACGUGCAAUGCUUCAACAGCAAUGAUGGCUGAUUCCUCAAGCCCUUUCUGGGAACUGGGACCUUGACAAGAGUUCUCGCAUCAGUUCUCGGGGGCCUAUAUCUACAGUGAUGUCCGCGGGCUCUGAUGGAGCAAGUGGAAACGGACCGGAAUUACUGGAGGAUUUCCCAGCACGACAGUGUGUAGUGACGCGCUGCCUGGGUGCCUAGAUCCCCCCGUCUGAGUCCCAGGGCGAGAGUGCUCAGUCCCCAGCGGCCAGGAGGUCAGGUCCUGUCCCCAGGGCAGCCUGCAUCUGUGGUGCCGAAGCAAUGGCCAGGCAUCCUUUGGCAUUUCUUCCAUCGAGGAGUGAAGUCUGCAUCCCCUUCCUUGAAUCUGGGCAUGUGCUGGGGCUGGUUGGGCAUGGAUCGCAGCAGGAGGAAGGCUGCCCAGGUGUCUGUGCCGAGCCUGGAGAAACCAAUGGCUUCCGUAUGGCCCUCGUGGUGCCCUCUCUCCGGGAGCCCUGACCGCCCCAUGAGAAGACCAGUCGUCUUGGGUCGGCGUGGCUGUGGUCAAAAUAAACAGUAGAUAUGGCUCAGGGCUGCAUCUUCUGUUUUUGUUUAUGUCGCACUAAGUGUGUUUGUUGGCCCCUCCAGGGGAGCAGGGGGAGAUAGGAUGGGGUGUGUCAGGUGUUGCAAAGGGCCUCGGCAGCCAGGCUCAGGCCUGGGGACUCAUCCUAUUGACAGGAAUGAACCUGAGCCCUUUCUGAGCGGCGGGUUGGGAGCGAUCCCCGUGGCUCUGAGUGGGCAGGUCACGGGGCCGGGGCAGCAAGGGCCAGGAAGCCAGGUGGGGCCACUGGAGAUCUGGGGACACGUCUGCGGAAGAGACCGGGAAGGAGGCACCUUCCCCGAGCUGUGACGGGCUCAGCCAUUCUCUUAGCCUGAAAUCCUUCAUCCUAGUGAGUCCUGAAGUCCCCGACUCAGUGAUUCUGAGAAUUCAUGAUUCCUCGAUCCCACGACGUGAAAUGCCCGUGUUUCUCCAGUUGUGUGAUCUGGUGAUUCACAGAACCUCUCACCCGGCAGCUCUAAAAUUCUCUGAUUCAUAUGCUCUGCUGAGUCAGCCCUUGCAGUUCCUGCCAACCCCUGGCCCAUGGCUUCUCCUGGGAAUUGAGGAAAGGCUGUUUGUUUCUGUCUUUUCUGUUCAGACAGGUGUCUCUGGGGGGCCUCUACCUUCCUCUGAGGUGGCUGAGAUGGGGAUUGUGCAGGUGGGGAAGAUCCCGGAGGCAGCUGGAAUAAUGCGGAGUGUGUGACCCCCGUGUGCCCCGGGUGCCCGAGUGCUGAGGCGGGAGCAGAGCCCCACCUUCGGGGGGAACUGAGAGGUGCUCGUGACCCAGGGCCCAUCACCCACUCUGCUCACGCCCACCUGCUGGAGCAGCACCCCCAGGGCUGUGGUCUCCCUGAAGAGCCCUCCAGAGACAAGCUUCUGGGUUGGGGUCGCACCUUGUCUUAAGCCACGAGCUGGAGUCACCCAGUGGCAUCCGUAACCACUGGAGUUGACAGGAGGCCUGAGGGCAUGGGAGACAAGCAGAGUGGCCUGUGGAUUUGGGUGACAGGGAUUAUGGGGGACAGGUGAGGGGUGCUAGUGGCAGGGCCACAGAAACAAGAAGCCUGGAUCGGGGACUUGGAUAGGCCUGCUGGCCCAGGGCCCACAGUGCCAUGAGCUGGUCUUUAUUCUUCUCCCCCUCAGCCAGCCUCUCGGCAUCAAAUCCAGGAGAUGAGGCCCCGCGUGCCAGGUUGCUGUGAGGCCCAGUCAGGGAAACAGGGAAAGCUGUUGGCACCGCGUCUGGGACUCUUGCUAUCAGUUUCUAGUGGCUCUUUUCAGGGCCGUGCGUGGCCGUCUCUGCCGGCCAGGCCUCCCUGGCCCUCGUGUGCACGAGUCUCCCUGCAAGUGGGGGCUGCUCUGAGAUGGUAUCAAGAGAAGGAGGCGGUGUGGGAGGGAAGCCAGGCCUACCUCUAAUCCACAUGGCCCUCCUGGUCCCUCCUUGGCCAGCCUUGGGGUUUUGGGAGCUGCUCUGAGUUGGAGAUGAAAUGGGCCACAACCAUGGUCACUGUUGGUUAUGAAAAGUGGGGGAGACAUGAUCCAGCAUGCGUGUACACAUGCAUCCAUCCGUCCAUCUAUCCAUCCAUUCAUCCAUUCAUCUAUCCAUCCAUUCAUCCAUCCUUCCAUUCAACUAUCCAUUCAUCCAUCUAUCCUUCCAUGCGUCCAUCCGUCCAUCUAUCCAUCCAUCUAUCCAUCCAUCCAUCCAUCCAUCCAUCCACAAUUUAUUAAGUGCCUACCGUGUCUGAAAGAGUGCACCCCACCCCCUUGGAUGACUUUCUAUGCCCCUAUCCUGCUCUGUUAUUAUUUAUGCCUUUGUUCAUCUGUUCACUCUCUUUCUCCCCCACUAGAAUUUUAAUUCCACGAAGACUUUGUCUUAUUCACCACUGCAUCCACAAAUCUAAAAUCAAGCCUGGCACUUAAUAGGUGCUUGAAAGCAUUUCUUCAAUGUAUGAAUUUAACCCCCCUCCUGAAACAACCCUGGGAAUAGGUGUUAUUAUCCUUCAUUUAUAGAUAAGGAAGCAGGCCCAGAGAGGCCAAUUGACUUGCCCACGGUUUCACUAUUAGUAAGUCGUGACCUGGGAGCCAGGUUUCCAGAGCUGGGUCUAACCCUUCAUACUGCUCCAUGCUUCGUGAGGAGGGAGAGAGGGGCACAAUUAGUUCUCACUGGGCAAUCGAGGGAGGCUUCCUGCAGCAGGGGGCCAUGGGCAAUGGAGGGUGGGUGGGAUGUCCCCAGGCAGGGGAGUAGGUGAGGACAGCCAGCUGAGGAGACUUCUUUGGCCAAGGCCUGGGGGAUAGGAGUGUGGAACCGGCCUCUGGGGUGAGGAGGGAGGCCUUACAAGACCCAGCCAAAAGCCUGCCAGACUUCUCGGAGCUAGAAGCAAUCCUCCAUCCCUGCUGGUGGCACUGUCAUUAGGACAUCGGUGCUGAGUCUGGCCUGUCCUUGUCAAUCAACUGACAGCAAGACAUGUCCCCAAACACCUCGCUGAAAGGGCCUUUCUCCCAGGUUGUGGGCUCAGGGGCACCUCUGCCAUGCAAAGUGGGCUCCCCCUGGGCCCAGGAAAAGGGUCAGCUUAGCCAGGCCUGGGCAGACAGCCGGCCGGCCUGGGAGCCCUGGUUACACUCUCCCUACCUGCUGGACAACACCUUCCCCGCCCUGGACCUCAGCAUCCCCAUCUGUAAUCGAAAUGGUUACUGCAGCCCUUUGUCACCUGUGAUGCUGGUGACCUCACCCAAAGCUGACUCUCCUGUGCAUCUCGCUGCAGGUGAGGUAUCUUUUCACAUUGGACCCCUCCUUUGAUCAUCAAUAACCCCGUGAAAGAGGCAGGGCGGGAUCAAUAUCUCCAUUUUCUCAGAUGAAGGAACUGAGGUUUGAGAGAGAGAAAGUCGUCGGUCCAAAGUCGCUGAGUCAGUGAGUAGCGUGUCCUGGUCUGGAAUCCCAGCUCAUCCCUCUGCGGCCACGAGGCCGGAGACUGCAGUCAGAAUGGUGUCAUGUUCUGAUUCCGCUGGGGUCCCUGGCCAGGGUGUCCCUUUUUGAGUUCUCCUGUCAUGCCACCCUCUGCCCACCCCCAGGGAAGAGGCAAAGGGCCCCCCUAAAUACACCAGAAAUGACUCCCCUCCUCUGAUCUAAACCCCACAUCCACGCUUGGGCCACCACACUGGAGGCUUCUAAACUGCCCCGUCAUUGGGGCCGUCCUGCGGUUCCCACACUGCCCAUCCCAGGGAGGAAAGCUCGGGUGAACUUACAACCUGACCUCAUUUCCGGGAGAGAUUUCUUUAACCCAGAGAAGCUAGCCUAGCUGGCGCUGGGCAUGGGGGCGUUCUCAGGUGGGGACAGCCGCUUCUUGGGGCCAGGCUGACUGCACCAGCAGCGGAUUCUCAGGGUAGAUGCAGGGGGACCACAACUCUGGCCCCUGGUGGACAAACAGCAAGCCCUCGUGGAGGCCAAAGCCUUUGUUCUAGAACUCUGGGCUCAUUACUUCCCUUUGCUAGGCCUCCCUGCCCACAAAGCGCGGUAAUCCCCCUUCCCCAGGCUGUCCAGAUCCAACAGGACAGACGAGGCAGGGAGAGGGGGGAAGGGUGCGGGGUUCUAGGUGGCGACGCAGACCUAGAUUUCCGCCCUGGUUUUGCCACUUACUAGCCUAGUGGCCUCGUGCAGGUUACUUAAUAAUAAAUACCAUUCACCUGCUAGGAUUGUUUGGGGUCAGGGGGGUUAAUUUGAUAGAAAGCACUUUGAAGACUGCUGAGCUCCCCAGGGGGCUGCUGUGUUAGGGGUUAUUGUGACAAGGUCCCAGCAGUGGAACAAGCAGAGGAAUUAAGGCUCUGAACAGCGUGAUGGUUCAGGGCCGGACAAAGGCUCAGGGCAUGAAGCCCUUCGGAGAUGCAGAUGCUAAGGACGGGCUCUGGGUUGUAGGGUGGCAGAAGGAGCCAGGGCCAGAUGGGGGUGGGUUCUGGUUUGGGAGGAGACCUUGAGCUGUGGGUACGCUUUUGGGUGAGCUCCAGGGAGGGGACCAGACGUGAUCGGUCGUUGGAUGAGUAGGGAAAAUGCACAGUGCCAGUAGCUGAGAGCCUCUGCAAGGCUGCCUGGGCCUGUGCGGAGGGCUGUAUUCUGAGACAUCACCUUGGCUGGCUUCCCUGCAAGACGCUGGUCCUGGGGGAGCUGUGCUUUGUGAGGUAACAGAGGAACAAGGUGGGGGCUGUCGUGGGGCGGGGAGAGCCCCCGAAUGCUCGAGUUUUAGGGCACAGGUGGAGACUUGAGAAGCCCCGAGAUCCCCCAAGAGGAGAGUAGGCCUCCCCUCACCCUGUGCUCCCUCCGUCUGUGCCUCUCAGCCACCUGGUUCCUGCCUUUUCUCUAAGGCCUGUCCCAGAGGGUCAAACAUUUCUGUAGGUUGUGGGCCCACUGUGUGUCAGGUCUGGACACGGACACGGGACCACCGAGGACGCAGACUCGCUGAAUUCUCUCAACAGCUCCGAGAGGAGGUGUCAUGACCCCCGUGUGCCCACGAGGAAGGAGAGGACUUGGGGGAUGGGGCUCUGGCCGUCGCCCAGGGCCCCGGGGCUCUGGCCCAGCUCUCCCAGCAGGUCCUGUCCCCUCAUGCAGCAGAUCCGAGGACAGGUGGGGGUGCUCGGGGUUUCUGGCCUGUCCGGGGGGCGGCUCCCACAGAACCCUUCAAAGGCCCUUGCUCUGGCUCCUGCUACGUGUGCUACUUUAAAAAAAAAUCUAGAAUGAAAAAGAAGAAAGUUUCUAUUUUUGAUGAGACACCAACGAAAUGAAGGCUUUUAAAUUAUUAAAAUCCAGAAAUAAAUUAUUUAUUCAGGUCAGCCUUUCAUUUCACGCACAUUAACCCCACCAGCACACUGUCACGAAUUUGCUGAGUGUCCUGGCAAGUCAUUUACCCUCCAAGGACCUCGGUGUUCUCUUCUGUAGGAUGGGUCAGGGGCCGGCAGGGGGCUGGGUUUCCCAGGUGCUGGAGGAGCCUGCCGGGGGGAGCCCAAGACCGGCCAGAGCAGGCCUGUCUGUUCCCUUCAUCUCUCUUCGUCCUGUAUCCUUGGCCUUCACGAUCAGACCUUCCCUGAGCAGCUCAGGUGGGUGGGAAGGGGAAGAGCUACUAUUAAUAAUAAUAGUACGGGCCAGCCCUGCACAGUGGUUUAUACAUCCAACUUAUUUAUCCUACAACAACCCUCUAAGGUGGAUAAUGUUACCAUCUCCAGGUUACAGAUGAGGAAAUUGGGCACCGAGUAGUGAAGUGCCUUGCCGGAUAUCACCCAGCUUGGAAGUGGCACAGCUGGAGUUCAAGGGCAGGCAGCCUGGUUCCCGCACUGACUACUGCAGCACACGGCCUCGCCUUGGGUGUGAGUGAGGCCCUCAGGAACCUCCCGAGAUGACUCUUCUUGCAGGUGCCGUGCCUGUUCUCUCUGCCUUUGCACUUGCUGUUCCCUCUGCCUGGGGUGCCCUCCCUGCCCCAGGACAGCAAAAAUGUCACCUCCUCCAGGAAGCCCUCCCAUCCUCCCUCUGUGCUUCCACAGCAUUCUCCCACUUCCCUGUGAAAGCCCUUACCCGCCGAAUCGUCCUCAUUUACACACCUGUCUCCCCACCAGACUGUGGCCUUCUUGAGUUCAGGUACCGUGUUGGAUGAAUUUCCACAACCCCAGCACGGUGCCUGAUGUAGACCGGCUGGUGUUUGUUGAAUGAAUGAGCGAGUGAGUGUUUGAAGGGAUGUGACUCCCUUGCCCGUGGGGGAGGGUUGCGGGUUGCCUUAUGGCCUGGCCCUGGGAAGACCCCUAAGUUUGCCAUCCCUGGCAUCCCUGAGAUUGUUCUCCCACCAAGAGACUCAGCUUGGCGGAGAAGACAUUGGGUUUCCAUGUCUGCCCGAGCAAACAUUUCCACAGAAAUCCCAAUAGAUGCCAGUGGGUGCAGUGGGCACUGCCCCUCCUCCCACAACCUGCACCCCUCCCGCCUCCGCAGGGCUCUGAGCCCAGAGCCAGCCCUUCUUCUGUGGGUUUCCACUGGGUUUCUCACAACUGCCCUAUCUGAAGCUGCUUGCCGCCGUGCCAUCUUCACCCCACACCCUCUCUGGGUGAUGAAGGGGCGCCCUGGCCCCAGGCUGUCGGCAUUAGGGAGUCCAGCCCCACCAUCCUCAGACGGGAAACCUCGGCCCAGGUUGGGGAAGCAGAGGGCUCCCACCCCCUGCCCUGGCUUUGCGCUGCCGUCUGCAAGCCCCUCCUCCCCUCAGACAUGGGCGCCUGCACCUCCCCCUCCCCCAGGGCCCUGGGGUCAGGGGGCCUCACAGGGCUCACCUGGCAGAAGCUGAGAGGCCCGAGAAUUACAAGGUGUCCGGCCUCAGACCCUGCCGAGCACCGGACCCACUGCCCUGCGAUCCCGGUUGAGCCUCUGGGGGUGGGGAGGAAGGAAAGGCACUUGGUGGUAGAAGCUCAGAGAGGUCCGUGGCUUUCCUGAAGACACGUGGCAGAGUGGCAGAGGCAGGAUCCGAGCUCUGGUCCCUCCGGUGACAAGGCCAGCCUCUACCCACUCUCCGGCCAGGCGGGAGCCCACUUUCCCCACCUAGAUAUGGGGUGGAUGGCCCCUUCUGGAAGCACGGGCAGAGCGCCUGGUGUGCAUGUGGGGCACCGGCUGGUCAGCGGAGGGUCCAGCCCGAGGACUGAGAGCUCACUUGGCCCUUGAGACCAUCAGACCAUCAGAGAGGUGAAGUGACUUCGCCCAAGCUCACAAGUGGUGGCCCAGGGGACGGAUAUGGGACCUGUCAGACUCUGACCACUUCCGUCUGUCCACGUCCCCCCCUGCACGGCUGUUUUCCCAAAGCCAGUUAUUACCUCUCACUGCCAGGUCCCUGCUCUGCUCUCCCUGUGGGCUUUGCCUCAUCUGUGGACUCGGCACAACUGCCGGUGAGGGAAGAGGGCCAGGGGUGCGUGGCCCUGAGGCAGGGACAGAGGCCUCAUGGUCUGGCUUUGUGCAGCCAGCCAGAGACCAGCUAACAAGCUCAUCGUUUCGUGCCCAGGCCUGCCACGCGGGCAGCUGGUCCUGCCAUCCCGGAUCACCUCAGACUCCCACUGGACCCCAGGAGUCUGCCUCCCAGCCCAGACCCUCAGACGCCCGCCCUCCCUCCCUCCUGUAGUCGAUGGAUCUGUGCUUGGGCCUAUGGUGUUCCACCACCCACACGGACCGGCCCAGCCUGACAUGUCCAGCUCUCAUCACCAUGGCAACACUCACCACCCCCGUGCGGGACCACUGUGCUCAGCUAACCCGUGGCCUGUCUCCUGCCACUGGCCACCCAUUUGGGUCGGGAGACACCCACACACCCACUCAGGCCAAGACUCGGAGCUCACUCGUGUUCCUGCCUCCCCCCCACAGGCCAGAGUGACGGUGUGCAUGGGUGUGCACAGGCAUACGUGUGCACACGUAUAGGCGCAGGUGUGGAAAACACUGACAGCUCAUCCGACUCUGGUCUGUGGGACUCGGGGGCUGCCGGCAACGCCUAACUGUGUGUCGUGGGUCCUCUGGGGGGGUAGUCUCUGUCUGUGUGCCUGCACCUCAUCAGCUUCGCGUGUCUGUCUGUCUGUCUGUUUGUGUCUCGGCAGAGGCCAGGGAGGGGAAGGGAAUGUGUCAGAGAUUCUGGACAACAACUCCUUUCACUACAUUUCUCCAACCGCUGGAGAAGGACACCCUCUCCUCUGGCCUGUUCUCCUAGGACGUUCAGGACCCAGCAGUGGCUGAUGGGGGCGACCCACUUACCAUCUUUGCUGGGCUCUCCCCUGGGGCCAACAGUUACACUGGACUUUGGCCCUUGGAAUCCACAUAAUCUUCUCUUGGGGCACCACCUGAUUCCAUUUUCCUGUGCAAAACACAGAAGCUGUGGAGAGGGGCCCGGGCAGGACAUUGGGAGAAGGGAAAUGUAGUCUUGGUUCUGUUGACAGCUGGCCCUGUGACCUUGCGCAGGACACCGUGCCUCUGGGCCUCCGUUUCCCUGCCUGUUAAUGAUUUCUUGUGGACUUUCUAUCCGUACCAUCCAGAAUUCCAUCAAAUGGCAACUGUCCCAAUACAUCUUCCUCUCGUCUUCACGACAGCCCUGUGGGUCGCCUGUUAUUAUCCCUGGACGAUAAGGAGGAAACUAAGUGCAGAGGAUGCUGGUGGGAUGGGGGCCCAGCCGCAUCACCCUGACCAGAGCCUUUGCUCUUUCUCUCACCCACUGCCCCCCGUGCUCUGCCCGCAGGUUCCAGGGCCAGGAUGGGCCCUCUGUGCCACCUGCCACAGCACAGCCAGCCCCUCACGGGCAGGGGGCUGCCACUGACAAAGGGCACCCACCAGCCCUGCUGGGAGACCCCUCCUCACCCUCACCGUGGACAGGGCCAGAUAUCAAAGGGGGGAAUGUGGGAAGGCAAAGGAAAAAGACAAAGCCGUCAGGCUGCCCGGCGCUGGUGAGUAAUGACACAUGGAGUUCCGAGAUCAACAGGCAGGGCUCGGCUCCAGGGCCGUGUGGGGAUGAGCCUCAGAGCUGGAGCCGGCAGGCGGGAAGGGCUGGCGGGCGCUGGGUCAGGUGGUGGAAGAAGGCCCCGGGCUCCGUGCAGGGCAGUAGGGCAAAGCGGUCACCGGACCCUUGUUUAAAUGCGCGUCCUGGUCCAGCCCGUCUGGGGUGGGGUCUGAGUUUCUGCAUUUCUCACGAGGUCCCAGGUAACGCUGCUGCUGCUACCCAUGGUCUGGGACCGCCUUUUGAGCGCCUGAGUGUGGGCUGAGAGAGCCGGGUUUGAACUUGGAUCUGGCCCUAAUUCGUUGUAUGAGUGGGCAUGUGAGUUCCCAACUCAGCAGGCCUCCGUUUCCUCACCUAUAAAGUGGGGAUCAUAAUAGUAUCUGCUUCAGGGAAGCGGUGGUGAGGGUUCAGAAGUUAAUCUGUGUUAAUCUGUGUCAAAGCCCAUAGAUGGUGCUUGGUGAGUGUGUUAUUAUUCUACAGUGCCGGGCUGGAGAAUAUGUGCUUUUCUGCUGUGGAGAGUGGGUCGCUGUUAAGUGUUAAGUGGGGAGUGAUGUGACCGAAGUCUCACUGGAAAGACUUCCUCUGGGCGCUGCUGGGAGUUGAGCUGGAGGUGGCGGCCGGGCCUGGGGGAGCCGCGUGGGGCUGUCUCAGGAGGGGUGUGGGUGAGAGAGGAAAUGGAGUCUGGAAGUGGUGGAUGGGAGGGACGGAAGGAGAGAAGGGGCAGGAAGGAUGGACAUUUCCGAGGCAGAUCUAACCGGAGGUGGCCUGGGAGGGCCUGGUAGUUGGCAUUGCGGUCCUUGGGUUCUGCUGUGUCCGCUCACCGCUUCCACUCCUCAGCCCGGCCCAGCUGACUGUAUUUGACUAUAUAAUUUGGGAGCACAGCAGGCAGAAUUCUGAGAGAGGCCUGCCUGCUGGUUUCAGCCAGUCUGGACACUGUAACCUUGACUCCAGCUAUCGAGAAGAACCCCCCUGUGCAGGGAGCUAUCUGUAACAACACAUUCGGGGGAUUCGCAGGGAAUGACUGAACCAAACUCCAGAAGGAAACAUAAGAGUUUGUGCAUGUGGGUAUGAAUAUGUACACACAUCAAGAGUAUAACAGGGCUUCCCUGGUGGCACAGUGGUUGAGAGUCCGCCUGCCGAUGCAGGGCACAUGGGUUCGUGCCCCGAUCCGGGAGGAUCCCGCAUGCCGCGGAGCGGCUGGGCCCGUGAGCCGUGGCCACUGAGCCUGCGCGUCUGGAGCCUGUGCUCCGCAGCGGGAGAGGCCACAACACUGAGAGGACCACAUACCGCAAAAAAAAAAAAAAAAAAAAAGAGUAUAACAGAGUGGGCCUUCCCUGGUGGCUCAGUGGUUGAGAAUCCACCUGCCAAUGCAGGGGACAUGGGUUCGAGCCCUGGUCCGGGAAGAUCCCACAUGCCAUGGAGCAACUGAGCCCGUGCGCCACAACUACUGAGCCUGCGCUCUAGAGCCCGUGAGCCACAAUUACUGAGCUCGCGUGCCAUAACUACUGAAGCCUGUGCACCUAGAGCCCGUGCUCCACAACAAGAGAAGCCACCGCAGUAAGAAGCCCAAGCACCGCAAGCAAGUGUAGCACCCGCUCGCUGCAACUAGAGAAAGCCUGCGCGCAGCAACGAAGACCCAACGCAGCCUAAAUUAAUUAAUUAAUUAUUUAAAAAAAGAGUACAACAGAGUGAAUUUUGUUAGCAAUUCCUGAUUUUUCCCUUCAAAAGAAUUGAAGGCAACUGUAGCCAGUGUGGUGAAACAGGUGUUUUCUCUUCUACAUGCAGCCCUGUUCUGAUGUCCCACAUUUUGUUGGUCCUGUCCUGGGGGUGUUUUAUUCUCUGUAAGUCUUGGGCCCCAGCUAGCCCACAGGGGCCUUUUGUGUGAAUUAGGGAAGGGUGUCCCCUCUGGACAGAUACAGCCUCAUGGGCACAUAGUGUAGUGAGUGGAAGGCAGACUGGAUUCUAGUCCCCACUUGUCCCUCAGGUGGGCGCCCUUGUGCAGUGGACAACCUGCACAGCUGUAUGUGCCGUCUCUGCACACGGACCACACAAGCUGUUCAGGAAACGGACGCUGUAGAAAAUUCUUUAACUGUAGAAAAUGCUUUAUCUGGGCAUCAAGCUCAGCCCUUUAUCCCAGGUUCUUUCUUUGGGUGAUUUCUUCUGGGCCUAGGUCUCCCCUUGUUAUUCUCUGCACCCUGCAUCUGCUGGCUUUAGGCUUUAACUCAGGGAAAGGCUACCUAUUGCUGCAGCUUCCUGGGCUGCUCUUUGGGGUGAGGGCCCCGAGUCCUCAUUUUCUUUGUUGAUGGUAUUAUCUCCCCAAGACGGGUGUUUAAAAUUGCUUCGGGCUGGACCAAUGAUUCUAAUAGGGGGUCUACACCGAAAUGGCAUUAUUCUGUUGUGCAAGGCUGUGACUGCCUAUUGUAACACCAGUCAACAUCACCACCAUUCAGAAGGGUUACUCUGCACCUCAUGCCAACACCAUGCCAGCCACAAAGGGAAACCUUUAUUCUUUUCUCCAAACUUUCUAUAAUGCCAUAUAGCUUUUCCAACAUGAAUUCUUUUGACUAAACCAAACAAAACAUAAAGAAAUACCCUUUUGGGGUAGGGUUGUUUAACCAGAAGAGAUCUACCUAACUGCACCAGAGUUGUCUAGAGCCAGACUGCCUGGGACCAAAUCCUACUCUGCCACUUAUUAGCGGUCAUCUUGGAGAAGUCAUUUAACCUCUCGGUGCCUCCGUUUCCUCAUCCAUAAAAUGGGGAUAAUAAUAGUACCUACUUCAAAGGCUUGUUGUGGGGACAAAGUGAAUAUACGUAAAGCUCUUGAAACCACUCCAGGAACAGGGUCAAUGCUGUGGGCGUGUUAGCUCUUGCUCUGGUGACCAGACCAAGAGGAGAAAUUGGUCAAAUGCCUUGCUGACAUCCUGAUUCCGCCUCUCUCCAGCCUUCUCUGGUUUCCACACUCAGAAUCAAUUCCAGUGUCUUCUGGGUUUGUUUUACAUUUUUUCUAGUGUCUCUAUCAAAGCUCCCAGGACAGUGUCCGUCACUCUGUGGCUCUAAUGGUAGCCCGUGCCAAUCUGCCCAAAUAGAAGCGCUUCCGGCAGGCAGGGACCCCCUCCUUCAUCUUUGCAUCCUUCAUGGCAACAAAAAGCCUGGUACGAAGCCAAUGCUUGAUCAAGGACUGUCGGCGAGUCGGUGGCUGCAUGACCAAGGGCAUCCUUUCUCGUCUUCACCCCCCACUUCCCUCCUGGCACCAGUAGGUCCUCAACAAUUUUGUUUGAAUCGAACUGAAUAUAUUCUGCAAGCUUGAGACCACACAUCCUCACUGAAUGGGUGUCUUGGAAGCCCCGGAAGGUUAUGGGAUUUUUUUCCCAAAGGGUGCAGUAAAAUCCUGAAGGCGAAGGGGUCCUUCUGCCUUUCCAGAUGGACUGAAUGCGAGGUAGAGAUGUGUCCAGGAGUCUUCCACCCACUGCAAGGUGUUCCCAAGUAGUUGGCAGAGACGUUUCACAUUUAGAUUACCCUGCCGAGAUACCCACUGCCCACCUUUCUGGAAGCAUCUAGAGUUUCUCUCCGGUGCACUGUUCUUCUAAGUGAUAAUUCUAGAAACCCAUUCCUUUGUCUUUGGCAACAACAACCCAAUUCCCAGGACUCCAGCUGGAAGAUAACAGCCUUAAUUCCCAGACCCCUGGGGGGAGGAAACGCCAGACAGAGUCCUCCCAGCUGUUACGGUUCUGUCUGCACCAGGCCACAUGCAUCGAGCCCAAAUGACUACUUGAAGCGUUAUUAGAAUUCAGGUUGCCCCGUCAUCACGAUUCUCUCUGAGCUGGGAGGCUGGGAAAAAAGAAGGCAGAUUGUGUGCCGUGUGCAAAAGCCGGACCAGGAGCCUCUGAGAUUAAUUACACCUGGUGAAUGCAAUGUCUGGGAGCCCCGGGGAAGUGCUAUCUGGGGGAAGCAUAAACCAGGCUCCCCAAAAGGAAGUAGAGAUGAGCUCCAUUCCACUGUGCAGACAAAAUUAAUGCUGCUUAUCAAAGCCCUUCCUCAUCAAUAUAAAGUUGGAUUUCUAUUAGUCACCAAGGGCCAUUUGCCUAGAUGCAAAUGGCCUGACCUAGCUGGACGAUUUCAGCGCAACGUCUGAUGGAGGUUGUGGGGAGCCGACAGCCCGUGCCAGUAGAUUUAACAAGCACUGGGGCUUUUUCCUUUGGCUCUGAGGCUAAGCUCAUUAUCCAAGGAACAAAUGGAAUAUGAAGGCUGCAUCGGCGCUGCCAGAGACCAUAAGAAAUUUGCUAUGAAACAAAGUUGGUGCAUUGUUCAGCUGUGCAGAGAAGAAACUUGGAAGCAGAGAAGGAGCUGCUCACAGCCAGGAACACCCGUUGCCCUAACCUGCUGGCUAAGUCACCCAACCCCAGGUUCCGCCGCUUGCAGCUACACCCCACCUCUGCAGCCGGUGGGCCUGACCUCAAAGAAUUCUGAUCAGGUCGCAGUGACACAAUGUCCGUGAGAGAGAACAAAUUAACCCGGCUUAGGAAGAGUUCUUUCAAUUAUGUCCCAGGGAGAGAAAAAGUAGGAAGAGGAGCCAGUGCUUGAAGCACGGAGGAGCUGGCCGACCUCAGAGGCAGUCUCGUGUCUUCGGGGGGACGGCUGGAAGAGCUAUCGAACCCACUGCCAAACCCGGGGACGCUGAUGCAGCCCCUCCAGCUGGCCCGGUGUGGACCCACUUCCUGAACACUCCUCCCCAGGCCUCCCAGUCUCCCUUUUCGUGCAUUCAUUCAGGACCAGAUACUGACUUAACGCUAUUGUACCAAGAAAAUGAAUAGGGCGGGCUGGCCAGGGAACAUGGGCGGGGGUGAAAUCUUCAGUAGAGCUGUGAGGGAAGGCUGAGUUAGGAAGCGACAGCUGAGUGAAGGCCCGAGGGAGUGGGGACAGAGACAGGAACGACUGUCUUUGAUGAGGCCAAGUCCCUGGGAAUGGCCUCGUGGAAGGGCUGCCCCUUCCUCCCUGACUGCUGAGGACUUAACAUGUAUUAUCUCAUUAAACCUGAGACCCUGUUGAAACCUCCAUACCAAGGGGGAAGAGGGGGAAGGGAUAAAUUGGGAGAUUGGGACUGACAAAUACACACUACUCUUUAGAAAAGAGAUAACUAAUAAGGACCUACUGUGUAGCACAGGGGACUCUGCUCAAUACUCUGUAAUGACCUAUAUGGGAAAAGAAUCUAAAAAAGAGUGGAUAUCUGUGUACGUAUAACUGAAGCACUUUGCUGUGCAGCAGAAAUGAAUACAACAUUGUAAAUCGACUAUACUCCAAAAAAAUUAAUUUUAAAAAGUAA
This is a long non-coding RNA of Orcinus orca (killer whale), 42547 nucleotides long. RefSeq lists it as uncharacterized. NCBI's taxonomy places the organism in Eukaryota, Metazoa, Chordata, Mammalia, Artiodactyla, Delphinidae. The record is from RefSeq and is a predicted model, not a curated record. The transcript is spliced from 4 exons.